AAAGAUUAAGCCAUGCAUGUCUAAGUAUAAGCAAUUAUACCGCGAAACUGCGAAUGGCUCAUUAUAUAAGUUAUCGUUUAUUUGAUAGUACCUUACUACUUGGAUAACCGUGGUAAUUCUGGAGCUAAUAAAUGCUAAAAAUCCCGACUUCGGAAGGGAUGUAUUUAUUAGAUUAAAAACCAAUGCCCUUCGGGGCUCACUGGUGAUUCAUGAUAACUCCUCGAAUCGCAUGGCCUUGUGCCGGCGAUGGUUCAUUCAAAUUUCUUCCCUAUCAACUUUCGAUGUUUGGGUAUUGGCCAAACAUGGUUG
RNAcentral lists this ribosomal RNA (309 nucleotides) under uncultured fungus. Its description in RNAcentral is "SSU rRNA". It matches the Rfam family "Eukaryotic small subunit ribosomal RNA", at positions 39 to 352 of the family's 1831-position model. The record is from RNAcentral. Lineage: Eukaryota; Fungi.